GACAUGUGUGCGCUGGUGUUUAGCGGUCUGCGCUCAAAAGAGUGUUACGACAUGCGACAUCGGUGCCGUAAAAUCUUCAACUGGAUCGUGUCUGGUCUUGAUUGACUGGGCGCUGUUCAUUCGGUUGAUCGUUUACUGUGAGAAAAUUAGAGUGUUCAAGGCAGGCAUUAUUGCAAUUGAAUAUGUUAGCAUGGAAUAAUAAGAUAAGGCUUUCGGCUUAUUUUGUUGGUUUCUAGAUCGGAAGUAAUGAUUGAUAGGGAUAGUUGGGGGUGCUAGUAUUCAACGGCCAGAGGUGAAAUUCAUGGAUUCGUUGAAGACUAACUUAUGCGAAAGCAUU
This 337-nucleotide ribosomal RNA is filed under the name uncultured Woronina. Its description in RNAcentral is "SSU rRNA". The stretch from base 45 to 337 matches the Rfam family "Eukaryotic small subunit ribosomal RNA", at positions 664 to 955 of the family's 1831-position model. The record is from RNAcentral. Lineage: Eukaryota; Endomyxa; Phytomyxea; Plasmodiophorida; Plasmodiophoridae.